This 497-nucleotide ribosomal RNA is filed under the name uncultured bacterium. RNAcentral describes it as "partial 16S ribosomal RNA". It matches the Rfam family "Bacterial small subunit ribosomal RNA", at positions 28 to 507 of the family's 1533-position model. The record is from RNAcentral.
GAUGAACGCUGGCGGCGUGCCUAAUACAUGCAAGUCGAGCGAACGGACGAGAAGCUUUCUUCUCUCAUGUUAGCGGCGGACGGGGGAGUAACACGUGGAUAACCUACCUAUAAGACUGGGAUAACCUCGGGAAACCGUAGCUAAAACCGGCUAAUAUUUUGAACAGCAUGGUUCAAAAGUGAAAGACGGCUUUGCUGUCACUUAUCGAUGGAUCCGCGCUGCAUUAGCUAGUUGGUAAGGUAACGGCUUACCAAGGCAACGAUGCAUAGCCGACCUGAGAGGGUGAUCGGCCACACUGGAACUGAGACACGGUCCAGACUCCUACGGGAGGCAGCAGUAGGGAAUCUUGCGCAAUGGGCGAAAGCCUGACGGAGCAACGCCGCGUGUGUGAUGAAGGUCUUCGGAUCGUAAAGCUCUGUUAUUGGGGAAGAACAGAUGUGUAAGUAACCGUGCACAUAUUGACGGUACCUGAACAGAAAGCCACGGCUAACUACGUG